This 53-nucleotide ribosomal RNA is filed under the name Meloidogyne hapla. Its description in RNAcentral is "partial 28S ribosomal RNA". Lineage: Eukaryota; Metazoa; Nematoda; Chromadorea; Rhabditida; Meloidogynidae. The record is from RNAcentral.
ACCUGAGCUCAGUCGAGAUCACCCGCUGAACUUAAGCAUAUCAGUAAGCGGAG